ACGUACCUCUGACGGCGAGGGUGCGCCCUGCUCCGGACCGAAAGGCCGUGCAGCGGGCAAUCCCGAGCCGCUCAACCCUCACAAACCCACCGUGAACCUUUGUCGGCGGAGGGCCCUCGUGGCCCCGAGCCGGAUCACAAACCCCAAGUUUUUGAAUGCAAAGCGGACUCUGUGCCGCCUAAACUUAAA
This 189-nucleotide unclassified non-coding RNA is filed under the name uncultured Trechisporales. RNAcentral's name for it is "sequence contains ITS1". The record is from RNAcentral. Lineage: Eukaryota; Fungi; Basidiomycota; Agaricomycetes; Trechisporales.